Molecule: non-coding RNA, 228 nt
Organism: Pelobates cultripes (western spadefoot toad)
Lineage: Eukaryota; Metazoa; Chordata; Amphibia; Anura; Pelobatidae
Source: the annotation of a GenBank genome assembly
GUUUUACAUAAGUACAAAUAUGAGAUACAAAACAAUUAUUACAUAGGAAGAAAAUCAAUAGUUACAUGCAUGAUUUACUAUUUUAAUUAUGUCUAUGUGUUUGUAUUCAGUAGCUGUAUGCAGGGCCACAGCAAAGUGGCAAAAAGACAUCCACUUGGACACAUGUAAAGUGCAGUGUCAUGAUAUCAUAAAACCCAAGUGUCAUUAUUUAGGUUUCAAAUCCCUCUG